GACGUAGGGGGCGAGCGUUGCCCGGAUUCACUGGGCGUAAAGCGCGUGUAGGCGGUUUGUUAAGUCGGAUGUGAAAGCUCCGGGCUCAACUCGGAAAUUGCAUCCGAUACUGGCAGACUUGAGGAUGGUAGAGGUCGGUGGAACGGCGAGUGUACCGGUGAAAUGGGCAGAUAUUCGCCAGAACACCAGUGGCGAAGGCGGCCGACUGGGCCAUUCCUGACGCUGAGACGCGAAAGCCAGGGUAGCGAACCGG
RNAcentral lists this ribosomal RNA (253 nucleotides) under uncultured prokaryote. Its description in RNAcentral is "partial 16S ribosomal RNA". It matches the Rfam family "Bacterial small subunit ribosomal RNA", at positions 524 to 776 of the family's 1533-position model. The record is from RNAcentral.